UACGUAGGGUGCGAGCGUUAAUCGGAAUUACUGGGCGUAAAGCGUGCGCAGGCGGUUUUGUAAGCCAGAUGUGAAAUCCCCGGGCUUGACCUGGGAAUGGCAUUUGGGACUGCAAGGCUGGAGUGUGGCAGAGGAGACUGGAAUUCCUGGUGUAGCAGUGAAAUGCGUAGAUAUCAGGAGGAAUACCGAUGGCGAAGGCAGGUCUCUGGGCUGACACUGACGCUCAUGCACGAAAGCGUGGGGAGCGAACAGG
Molecule: ribosomal RNA, 253 nt
Filed under: uncultured bacterium
Lineage: Bacteria
Description: partial 16S ribosomal RNA
Rfam family: Bacterial small subunit ribosomal RNA
Source: RNAcentral